RNAcentral lists this long non-coding RNA (246 nucleotides) under Calidris pugnax (ruff). RNAcentral's name for it is "lncRNA (ENSCPUG00000000463.1)". The record is from RNAcentral. Lineage: Eukaryota; Metazoa; Chordata; Aves; Charadriiformes; Scolopacidae.
CAAAGAUUCCUUCCAAGACCCUCCAGAAAAGUGGACCUACCUUGAAGACCUGAGCCCUUCCGAGGAUGGGAGAUGCUACUAAUAGAUGGAAAUUGUGGAUGCAAAUCCUUUCAUGUUGGAUGAAACUCCACAUUGAGAGGCUUGAGGAAUGAAGCUACUGGAGAAAUUGAAAAGGAUGACUCCUGGUACCCAAGUGGAAGAUGGAAGCUAAACUUUGUCUAAUCAAGACUCUAUGAAAUGGGUGUG